UAUUUUGGAAUAACUUUAGGUUUACAGAAUAGUUGCGAAGAUAGGAACUCUCUGUACUAUCUACCCCUCACCCAGAUUCCCCUAUUAAUAUCUUACAUAACCACGGUAUAGUUGUCAAAACUCAAACUAAAAUUUCUACCUUACUAUUAACUAAACUCCACACUUCAUUAGGAUUUCACUAGUGUUUCCACUAAUAUCCUUUUUCUAGUCUAGGACCCAGUCCAGGAGACCACAUUGUAUUGAGUCAUUUCCUUAAUCUCUUUCCUUGUUUUUCAUGAUAUUGACAAUUUGGGGCAGUACUGGUCAGACAUUUUGUAGAAUGUUUCUCCAUCUGGGUUUGUCUGACUUUUUCUUUUCAUGAAUAGACUGGGAUUAUAGGUUUGGGGAAGAACACGACAGAAGAGAAGGGCUGUUCUUCUCACAUUACAUUGGGAAUACAUGGUAUCAACAUGCCUUACCUCUGGCAAUAUUCACCUCAAUAGCUGGCCAAGUUGAGGUUUACUGGGUUCCCCAGUGUGACGUUACCUUUCCUCCCUGUUGCCAUUCUCUAUUUGUCAGGAAGUCCCUAAGUCCAACACACACUCGACAAGGAGGGGGUAAGUGUCGGGUAGGAUAGAGAGAUCCAUCUCCUGAAGGGGAUUAUCUGCAUAAAUUAUUUGGAAUUCCUCUGUAAGGAAGAUUUGUCUCUUUUCUCCUCUUUAUUUGCUCAAUCAUAUACUUAUAUCAGUGGAGACAUGCAUUUUUUUUAAUACUUUUGCUUAUAGUUUAUUACUUCAUUAUUAAUUUUAUGAGUCAAAAUGUCCUGGCUUUGGCCAUUGGGAGCUUUUUCAAAUUGCUGCCUGUGUCCCUUUGACAGUCCCUCAUCCUUUUGUUUUUUGAGUACUUCCUUACUUUCUGCUCCACAUUCAUAAUCAGCCAUUUCUCCAAGGAGCCAUAGUUUCUUUUACAGGAAAAUCAUAUUUAGAAGCCAAGAUCUGGGCAACCAACAAGCUUUUGACAAUUUUCAAUCUCAGUUAUGAGAUUGUUGCUCUAAAUAUCCCUUGAGCUAACUUUUUGCACAUAUCCAUGAUUAUUCCCUAUGAUAAGUGCCUAGAGGUUGAAUUGCUGGGUUAAAGGGAAUGUAACAUUUUAAGCCUUUCAAUACAUUGCCAAGUUGUCUUCUAGAAAGAUUAUAUAUUUUUAUAUAGCUCUGAGUGGUAUGGAAAUUAGCAGUUUUGAGUUUUGAACACCCAAUAAACUUCAUUUCCCUACCAAAUGUGUAUCUUAACUCAUCUUCACUGCCAACAUGCUAGUCUAAGCCAAACUCCCUCUUGCCUGGAUUACUGCAACGGCCUUGUAACUAGUCUCCUCCUCCUCUCCCACCAUCUCUAUCCUUUAGAGAAAAGUCAGAACAAUGUUUUGAAA
This 1404-nucleotide long non-coding RNA is filed under the name Equus caballus (horse). Its description in RNAcentral is "lncRNA (ENSECAG00000048790.1)". Lineage: Eukaryota; Metazoa; Chordata; Mammalia; Perissodactyla; Equidae. The record is from RNAcentral.